Molecule: ribosomal RNA, 254 nt
Filed under: uncultured bacterium
Lineage: Bacteria
Description: partial 16S ribosomal RNA
Rfam family: Bacterial small subunit ribosomal RNA
Source: RNAcentral
UACGUAGGGGGCGAGCGUUGUCCGGAAUUAUUGGGCGUAAAGAGCGUGUAGGCGGUUCGGUAAGUCUGCCGUGAAAACCUGGGGCUCAACCCCGGGCGUGCGGUGGAUACUGCCGGGCUAGAGGGUGGUAGAGGCGAGUGGAAUUCCCGGUGUAGCGGUGAAAUGCGCAGAUAUCGGGAGGAACACCAGUAGCGAAGGCGGCUCGCUGGGCCAUUCCUGACGCUGAGACGCGAAAGCUAGGGGAGCGAACGGGG